This 253-nucleotide ribosomal RNA is filed under the name uncultured bacterium. Its description in RNAcentral is "partial 16S ribosomal RNA". It matches the Rfam family "Bacterial small subunit ribosomal RNA", at positions 524 to 776 of the family's 1533-position model. The record is from RNAcentral.
UACGUAGGGGGCUAGCGUUGUCCGGAUUUAUUGGGCGUAAAGAGCGUGUAGGCGGCCAGGUAGGUCUGCUGUGAAAACUCGAGGCUCAACCUCGAGACGUCGGCGGAAACCAUCUGGCUAGAGUCCGGAAGAGGAGAGUGGAAUUCCUGGUGUAGCGGCGAAAUGCGCAGAUAUCAGGAAGAACACCCGUGGCGAAGGCGGCUCUCUGGGACGGUACUGACGCUGAGACGCGAAAGCGUGGGGAGCGAACAGG